This 1094-nucleotide ribosomal RNA is filed under the name Halomonas sp. R123. RNAcentral describes it as "bacterial SSU rRNA". It matches the Rfam family "Bacterial small subunit ribosomal RNA", at positions 56 to 1178 of the family's 1533-position model. The record is from RNAcentral. Lineage: Bacteria; Pseudomonadati; Pseudomonadota; Gammaproteobacteria; Oceanospirillales; Halomonadaceae.
AGCAGUCGAGCGGAACGAUGGAGCUUGCUCCAGGCGUCGAGCGGCGGACGGGUGAGUAAUGCAUAGGAAUCUGCCCGGUAGUGGGGGAUAACCUGGGGAAACCCAGGCUAAUACCGCAUACGUCCUACGGGAGAAAGCAGGGGAUCUUCGGACCUUGCGCUAUCGGAUGAGCCUAUGUCGGAUUAGCUUGUUGGUGAGGUAAUGGCUCACCAAGGCGACGAUCCGUAGCUGGUCUGAGAGGAUGAUCAGCCACAUCGGGACUGAGACACGGCCCGAACUCCUACGGGAGGCAGCAGUGGGGAAUAUUGGACAAUGGGCGAAAGCCUGAUCCAGCCAUGCCGCGUGUGUGAAGAAGGCUUUCGGGUUGUAAAGCACUUUCAGUGAGGAAGAAGGCCUUGGGGCUAAUACCCCCGAGGAAGGACAUCACUCACAGAAGAAGCACCGGCUAACUCCGUGCCAGCAGCCGCGGUAAUACGGAGGGUGCGAGCGUUAAUCGGAAUUACUGGGCGUAAAGCGCGCGUAGGCGGCGUGAUAAGCCGGUUGUGAAAGCCCCGGGCUCAACCUGGGAACGGCAUCCGGAACUGUCAGGCUAGAGUGCAGGAGAGGAAGGUAGAAUUCCCGGUGUAGCGGUGAAAUGCGUAGAGAUCGGGAGGAAUACCAGUGGCGAAGGCGGCCUUCUGGACUGACACUGACGCUGAGGUGCGAAAGCGUGGGUAGCAAACAGGAUUAGAUACCCUGGUAGUCCACGCCGUAAACGAUGUCGACUAGCCGUUGGGGUCCUUGAGACCUUUGUGGCGCAGUUAACGCGAUAAGUCGACCGCCUGGGGAGUACGGCCGCAAGGUUAAAACUCAAAUGAAUUGACGGGGCCCGCACAAGCGGUGGAGCAUGUGGUUAAUUCGAUGCACGCGAGAUCUUACCUACCUGACAUCGUGCGACUUCAGAGAUGGAUGGUGCUCCGGGACGCACAGACGGUGCUGCAUGGCUGUCGUCAGCUCGUGUUGUGAUGUAGGGUUAGUCGUACCGAGCGCAACUAGUCUAUUGCUAGCGUAUCGUCGGAACUUAGUAACUGCCGGUACAAGUGGAGCAGUUGUCA